AGUGAACGCUGGCGGUAGGCCUAACACAUGCAAGUCGAACGGCAGCACAGUAAGAGCUUGCUCUUACGGGUGGCGAGUGGCGGACGGGUGAGGAAUACAUCGGAAUCUACUUUUUCGUGGGGGAUAACGUAGGGAAACUUACGCUAAUACCGCAUACGACCUACGGGUGAAAGCAGGGGAUCUUCGGACCUUGCGCGAUUGAAUGAGCCGAUGCCGGAUUAGCUAGUUGGCGGGGUAAAGGCCCACCAAGGCGACGAUCCGUAGCUGGUCUGAGAGGAUGAUCAGCGACACUGGAACUGAGACACGGUCCAGACUCCUACGGGAGGCAGCAGUGGGGAAUAUUGGACAAUGGGCGCAAGCCUGAUCCAGCCAUACCGCGUGGGUGGAGAAGGCCUUCGGGUUGUAAAGCCCUUUUGUUGGGAAAGAAAAGCAGCAGGUUAAUACCCCGCUGUUCUGACGGUACCCAAAGAAUAAGCACCGGCUAACUUCGUG
RNAcentral lists this ribosomal RNA (492 nucleotides) under uncultured bacterium. Its description in RNAcentral is "partial 16S ribosomal RNA". It matches the Rfam family "Bacterial small subunit ribosomal RNA", at positions 29 to 507 of the family's 1533-position model. The record is from RNAcentral.